RNAcentral lists this ribosomal RNA (429 nucleotides) under Bacteroidota bacterium. Its description in RNAcentral is "Bacteroidetes bacterium partial 16S ribosomal RNA". It matches the Rfam family "Bacterial small subunit ribosomal RNA", at positions 355 to 776 of the family's 1533-position model. The record is from RNAcentral. Lineage: Bacteria; Pseudomonadati; Bacteroidota.
UAGGGAAUCUUCCGCAAUGGACGCAAGUCUGACGGAGCAACGCCGCGUGAGUGAAGAAGGAUUUCGGUUCGUAAAACUCUGUUGUUAGAGAAGAACAGCGCAUAGAGUAACUGUUAUGCGUGUGACGGUAUCUAACCAGAAAGCCACGGCUAACUACGUGCCAGCAGCCGCGGUAAUACGUAGGUGGCAAGAGUUGUCCGGAUUUAUCUGGCGUAAAGCGAGCGCAGGCGGUCAAUUAAGUCUGAUGUGAAAGCCCCCGGCCCAACCGGGGAGGGUCAUUGGAAACUGGUUGACUUGAGUGCAGAAGAGGAGAGUGGAAUUCCAUGUGUAGCGGUGAAAUGCGUAGAUAUAUGGAGGAACCCCAGUGGCGAAGGCGACUCUCUGGUCUGUAACUGACGCUGAGGCUCGAAAGCGUGGGUAGCAAACAGG